RNAcentral lists this microRNA (22 nucleotides) under Gallus gallus (chicken). RNAcentral describes it as "gga-miR-12211-5p". Lineage: Eukaryota; Metazoa; Chordata; Aves; Galliformes; Phasianidae. The record is from miRBase by way of RNAcentral.
UAAGUGCUGGCCGUUGUCCUCU